This 5154-nucleotide long non-coding RNA is filed under the name Sus scrofa (pig). RNAcentral's name for it is "lncRNA (ENSSSCG00040050602.1)". Lineage: Eukaryota; Metazoa; Chordata; Mammalia; Artiodactyla; Suidae. The record is from RNAcentral.
AGAGGCGUGGGCGGUGAACCCGCGGUUCUGGGGAUCCGCGCCGGGCCGGGCCGCGGAGGUUGGGUAAAGAGUGGUGUUUGAAGUGUUUCAGGUGUGCCUGCAGGCUGCUGCUGUGGACGCGCGUGCUGGAAUCCGGGGCAAGGUCCUGAGUCUGCUACUGCUUUCCAAGGUGCGGCCGAAAUGUGUGAGUACAGGUGUGCACGCUUACUGAGAGGCAUGUGCUUACGUGCGUGUGUGUGCAGGUGUGCACGCUCAUCGAGAGGGCACAUUCACACGGUGCGGCGCAGUGAAGGGUAUAUGCAGUAUGCCGUUGUGCUGUUCUUCACACUCUGUGUGCUCGCACAGUUUUGCAAUAACGGGGAAGGUGAGGGGUUUCACAACUACCUUAAAGGAGAAAAUACAGAUUCUAGAAUUCCCCGGGACUCUCACUCCGUGGGUCUGUAGCGGGUCUUAAGGAAUCAUUUUCUCAGGGAAUACGGGUGGUCUGCAGAUUCUCGUGAGAUACAAAUGCUAUUUGUCAAGUAAGAAAGUAAAAGUCGAGGUGUCCUGACCAGCCCAUCUCCUCCUCCACAGGCAGCAUCUGUUCAAAUUGGUAUAGGUCUUUCCAGACAACCUUAUACAUAGAUACGUUACAUACACACAAGUACUUUUUCCACUCUCCUAAUUUGGAGCCUAUGCUUACUGAGUUUCUAUAACGUCUUUUGAUGUAUAUAUUUAUAGAUUGAACCUCAUUCUCUUUAACUUCUGGGUAAUAUUCCAUUAAAGGGUGUUUGAAAGUUGUUUUUUUGUUGUUGUUUUUUUUGUAAUUAGACCAUGUCUCAUUUGCCUUUGUUUUGUUUGUUGUGGAAGUAACUCAUACCAAUGGUUAAAAAUCCAAACAGAAGGGAGAAACAUUAAAAGUCUCUGUGUCCACCCUACCUACUCACCUAUCACCUGCGUAUUGUAGACCCAACUACAAUUUCUUUCUAGGUCUUCUGGUUCUUUUCAUUAUAGCUGUAAAUGAUGUACGUCCUGACCCGUCAACCACGAACAGUAUCUUUUCAAAGGGUAAGAAUAUAUUUUCUCUUUCAACUCCUAAGUUUAAAAAUUACAUUACUUUUAGUUCCAACGGGGGAAAAUUUUGUGACUUUAUCUGAAUCAUUAUUUAUAAAAGUACCUCUUACCUGCUGGCUCCCCGCAAUGAGCGAUGAGGAAAUUGGCGUACUUAUAUUCUCUCACUCCCCCAUGUUGUUAGAGUUUUAUCUUUAUACUAUGAAAAUCUCCUCUGCAAGGGUAAUUGCACCUUGCAAACGUUGUAGCGGAUUGAAAAGCAAUCAGCAGCAUUCACAAUAUUAGGAGACCCUCUGUAACAGCUCUGUCGGCAGAGCCCCUAUGCCCUUCAAACAGAACCUUUGCUGCAGCUGGGCCAGCCUGCAGCUGUCGGCGCCCGAGAUGAUUUGCCUGCCAUGGCGUUUUCCAACCACCAGAGGCCGCUCUGCCCGCGUUUGGGGCGGACCUGAAGAGCCCCGGAAUGUGUAUCUCCCCAGAGCACCUGCAACAAUGCGUGGGAACCCCUGGGACAGGACGUGCGUCCAAGGUCUCGGAAGGAGCGGGAUAGUUGAGACAGGCGGAGGAUGGAAAAGGCCUUCGUGACCUGAGAGAUUGUGCAGAAGACACUAAUGUGCUGGGAAGGAGAAGUCUCUGCUUCCCCCAUUGGAAUCGUCAUCACACAUUGAAGUUAAGUUCGUUCAUUAUUUAAACAAGGAUUUGCUGAUAACAGGUUAGUGGCUUAACGUGUGGACUUUUUGUUUUUUUAAUGGCCAUUCCCACUGCAUAUGGAGGGUCCCCUGGCCAGGGAUUGAAUCCAAGCCCCAGCUGCGACCUAAGCCACAGCUGCAGCAACGCCUGAUCCUUUACCCAACUUCCCCAGGUGGGGGAUUGAACCCGAGCCCCGCAGUGACCAGAGCUGCUGCAGUCAGAUUCUUCACCCACUGCAUCACAGCGGGAACUCCUAAAAAGUUUGGACAUUUGAGCUGCCUUACAUGAGUUCAAAUCCUCUUACUAGCUGUGUUGAUUGUAUCAAGUUCCUUAGUCUCUUUGUGCCUCAAUUUCCCAUAUUGUAAACAGGCAAAAGUGUCUGUGUGUGUGUGGAUAUGUGUAGUCAGAAAGAUUGUUAGAUAAUAUUGAAUGUCUGAAACACAGUGCAAGAAUAUUAACUAUUAUCAGUAUACAAUAAUUACUGUAAUAGUAAUGUUAUACUGUCAUUAAUAUAUCAAUCUAUUAAGUAUUAUUAACUUAAUAUUAUUUAUGUUCUUUCUAUACAGCCUCACCAUAUUUUCUUCGUGAUACUCUGAGCUAGUUUUUGUGCUGUUUUUUUUUAAAAAAAACUCCAUUUUACAGAUAAGACAACUAAUGCUCAGAAAAGUUAGGUGGCUUCCCCACCGUCACACAGCAGCUAAGAUGAACCAUCCAAGUCUACUUGGUUUGCACCAUAUUUUGUGGCGGUGCUCCUGCUGGUGUUUCUAUAAUGUAGCUUAAUUCAGUCAAAUAGCAUGAAAGAAAUUGAAAAAAGUGAUUGAAAACGAGCAGGGCACGGGAGAGUUCAUUCUGCUUCCCAAAGGCACAUGCAGAGCCAGCAGGGGGCAGCACGCACCAGGACAACCAGAGUACCCUGGAGGCGUUUGUCGGGUGUCCUUUAGCUAGGGUCCCUCUGAGCCUUUUCAGGAUUAAAUUUAUUUAUUUAUUGUCUUUUUCAUAUGGAAGUUCCCAGGCUAGGGGUCUAACCAGAGCUGCAGCCACCGACCUACACCAGAGCCACAGCAAUGCAGAAUCCAAGCCUCGUCUGCAACCUUCACCACAGCUCACGGCAACGCCGGAUCCUUAACCCACUGAGUGAGGCCAGGGAUCGAACGUGCAACCUCAUCGUUCCUAGUCAGAUUCGUUAACCACUGAGCCAGGACGGGAACUCCCAGGGUUAGAUUUAGAUCACGCCAUUUGGGCAGGAAUACACAUGAGUGACAGGUCCUCAGCUCUUCAAAGUGCACGGGUGUCAGUUUGUUCCAAUAUUGGAGGUGCAAAUUCCGCUCACUUGAUGCAGCGGUCUGAAUAUUUGUCUUUCCCACAAAAUUCAUAGGUUGCAAUCCUCACGUCCAGUGUGAUGGUUGUAGGAGGUGGGCCUUUGGCAGGCGAUUAGGCCGAGAGGCGGUGCCCUUGUGAUGGGAUCUUUGUAAGAGUCCUCGCUGAGCUCUCCAGCUCUCUUGACCCCUGCGGGAACACAGGGAAAAGUCUGCAGUUGGCACCCCCUGAGGAGGGUCCUCCCCAGGUCCUGACCAUGCAGCCACCCUCAUCUUGGAUGUCCAGCCACCAGAGCUGUGAGAAAGUCAGUGUCCGUUGUUCACAAGCCACCCAAUCUAUGGGACUUUGUUCCAGCAGGCUGAACUGACCGGGAUGCUUGGUUAAGGCCGUUGGUCAGGUUUCUCCAUUGUAAAGUUAUUGUUUUCCUCUUGUACCUAAUAAGCAUUUUAUGAGACGACAUAGUGGAGAUGUCUUCUCUCUCACUGGCGCUUGCAUCCAGCGUGGUCCCCACCCACGCUGAACCGGGAGCACGGUGCAACCAGUGGGAUGUUGGGGAGAUGGUGAAGUUUGACUUGGAGGCUGGUUCCCAAGGAGAGAACUGUCUCCUGCCUUACUCUCUGGGAUCACAGGCUCUAGAGAAGCCAAAGUCAUGCCUUCAAAAUGGAUGAGACCUGUAAUCUAAGAUUUUAAAAUAAAUCAGGGCGAAAAUUAAAUUAAAGGGAAACCUCACCAAAAUAGAAUGGGGAGGCCAGAAGGGGGCGCUCUCAUACACGUGCCUCUCAAGAUCAGGGCGGAGCCCAACAGGAAGAGCUGUACCUUGCAUCUCCCUCAGGGAUUGCUGUUUGAGUAUCACCAGCAGGAGGAAGAAAGGUUUUUUGACUGUCACAACUCAGCCAAUGAAAAGCCAUCUUUACGUCUAAGUACUAAUUUCCUAGAAGGGACUUUUUGUUUCUUACAGCCUCCCAACGUCCCCUUUUCCUCUAGCAAAGCAUUUUCUCUCCUUUCUUCUACUGCACAUGUCUGUGGUUCACCAUCGUCGCCUGUCCCAAAAGGUGAUUAUGUGGUUCUCUUGGAUAAAUCUGUUUUGCUGGUAAAAAAUAACCAGCUGUUUUAUUGUUUUAGGUUUAAAGCAGACAUAAAAAGUAACCUAAGAUAUGGAAAGCAAUAUAUGUCAGAUUUAGAAAAGCUCAGGAGGUGAAAAACUCAGGAAAGGAUUAAAAGUUGUAUGUGUCAAAGUAAUUCAAGAACAAAUUAACAAAACUGUAGGUCACAGAGGCAGCUUGCGUCCAGUGUUCCUGAGGCUGUGGCGUAGGCAGGCAGCCGUAGCUCUGAUUAUGCGUUAAGAGAAAUAAAGGAAAGAAGUAAGAAGAUAUUAAAAGAUAUUAUUGGGGCCAUAAUAAUGGGUACUCAAAGAUAUCCACCUACUAAUCCCCAGAACCUGUGUGCAUGUUUGCUUACACAGCAAAAGAGACUUUGCAGGUGUGGUUAAAUUAAGGCUCUCAAAACAGGGAGAUUAUCCUAGAUCAUCUGGGUGGGAUUAAUCUAGUCACGCAGGUCCUUAAAAGGAGACAAUUGUUUCUGGCUGUGAUGGGAAGUCAGAAGAGGCCAGGUGUGUAUGUGUUAGGAAGAAACCUAUUCCGGGAUUUCCCUUCAUGGAUCAGCUGUUAAGAACCUGAUUAGGAUCCGUGAGGUUGCGGGUUCGAUCCCUGGCCUCACUGUGGGUCAAGGGAGGAUCCAGCAUCGCAGAGAGCUGCGGUGUAGGUCACAGAUGAGGCUCAGAUUCUGUGUUGCUGUGGCUGUGGUGUAGGUCAGCAGCUGUAGCUCCGAUUCGACCCCUAGCCCGGGAACCUCCAUAUGUCACAGGUGCAGUCCUAAAAAGAAAAAAAAAAAGAAACCUGUUUCAGCUGAAAUAGAAUGAUGAUCCCAAAGAGAGUCUAGAAUAAUAAUAAUAACUCCCUAUAUACUGAUAUGCCUGGCCAUUUGGAAAUAGCAAUUAGUUUUGUUUUUUAACGUAAUUAUUUUGGAGAGCCUAAGAAGAAAUGAUAAAAGACUACUGAAUUCCUAACUCUCUGAAAAGAAAACAUUAUAUAAGGAAUAACA